CGGACGGGUGAGUAACGCGUGGGUAACCGUGCCUCAUACAGGGGGAUAACAGUUGGAAACGACUGCUAAUACCGCAUAAGCGCACAGGAUCGCAUGAUCCGGUGCGAAAAACUCCGGUGGUAUGGGAUGGACCCGCGUCUGAUUAGCCAGUUGGCAGGGUAACGGCCUACCAAAGCGACGAUCAGUAGCCGACCUGAGAGGGUGACCGGCCACAUUGGGACUGAGACACGGCCCAA
RNAcentral lists this ribosomal RNA (236 nucleotides) under uncultured bacterium. RNAcentral describes it as "partial 16S ribosomal RNA". It matches the Rfam family "Bacterial small subunit ribosomal RNA", at positions 99 to 334 of the family's 1533-position model. The record is from RNAcentral.